This 378-nucleotide unclassified non-coding RNA is filed under the name uncultured Parachlamydiaceae bacterium. Its description in RNAcentral is "contains 16S-23S intergenic spacer region". The record is from RNAcentral. Lineage: Bacteria; Pseudomonadati; Chlamydiota; Chlamydiia; Parachlamydiales; Parachlamydiaceae.
UCCUGGUUAACCCAGGCAGUCUCGUUAGAGUUCCCACCAUUACGUGUUGGCAACUAACGAUAAGGGUUGCGCUCGUUGCGGGACUUAACCCAACACCUCACGGCACGAGCUGACGACAGCCAUGCAGCACCUGUGUACAGGCCCCGAAGGGAAUAUCUAUUUCUAGAUACGUCCUGUACAUGUCAAGUCUGGGUAAGGUUCUUCGCGUUGCAUCGAAUUAAACCACAUGCUCCACUGCUUGUGCGGGUCCCCGUCAAUUCUUUUGAGUUUCACCCUUGCGAGCGUACUCCCCAGGCGGUAUACUUAACACGUUAGCUACGGCACAACUGGGGUUGAGUCCAGUUACACCAAGUAUACAUCGUUUACGGCAAGGACUAC